CGGCAACAGCUCAAAUUUGAAAUCUGCCCGCAAGGGCCGAGUUGUAAUUUGAAGAAGCGUAUAUCACGUUUUCGUUCGGGUUCAAGUUCCUUGGAAUAGGACAUCAGAGAGGGUGAGAAUCCCGU
This 125-nucleotide ribosomal RNA is filed under the name Archaeosporales sp. Its description in RNAcentral is "partial large subunit ribosomal RNA". It matches the Rfam family "Eukaryotic large subunit ribosomal RNA", at positions 99 to 224 of the family's 3401-position model. Lineage: Eukaryota; Fungi; Glomeromycota; Glomeromycetes; Archaeosporales. The record is from RNAcentral.